UUUUGUUUUUAUUUUUUUCAUUGCGUCACCGUGCAUGCGGUGCUGCGUGACGGAUUGCGGCGCUCGGACCAAUCUACAUUUUUAAUUACCCGUCGCACCCUGUAAUUCUGUCGCGUAAUCUUUUAAUCGUUGCCGAGGUACUGAAACAGCCUCCGUUGGACUUUGAUUUCAGUUAACGGAAAUUUUGACAAUUUCGAUAUGGCGUUAAUAGACUGGAAAUGCAAUUCGACUAUCAUUUGGACAAUAAAAUUGAUUCGAUUAAAACUGCGAUUUUACGUCCAAUUGUAAGCGUUGAGUAACUUUUAAAGUCGAUUCAAAUGUCGUCUUUGAAUAAAUUUUAAAAACUGUUUGGCAACCCUAAUCGUAACAACGUUUAAAAGCGCUAAUAUCAAAGUUAUAAAUAAAAUAAUACAGCGAAGAUUUAUCGAAUAGUGCCGUCGAAAUGGUCACUCUUGCCUGUCCGCAU
RNAcentral lists this unclassified non-coding RNA (466 nucleotides) under Melitaea cinxia (Glanville fritillary). RNAcentral's name for it is "misc RNA ENSMCXG00005000794.1". Lineage: Eukaryota; Metazoa; Arthropoda; Insecta; Lepidoptera; Nymphalidae. The record is from RNAcentral.